UAAACAGAAGCCAUUUUUGGCAUCUAACUGUUAAUUAGAAGCUAGUCUCACGACCUGUUUAG
This 62-nucleotide transfer RNA is filed under the name Arcovestia ivanovi. Its description in RNAcentral is "tRNA-Asn". Lineage: Eukaryota; Metazoa; Annelida; Polychaeta; Sabellida; Siboglinidae. The record is from RNAcentral. RNAcentral also lists the same sequence under 1 other name.